This is a non-coding RNA of Jeotgalibacillus malaysiensis, 265 nucleotides long. NCBI's taxonomy places the organism in Bacteria, Bacillati, Bacillota, Bacilli, Caryophanales, Caryophanaceae. The record is from Rfam.
CCGUGCUAGGUGGGGAAUUAGCGGUGCCCUGUAUUCGCAAUCCGCUCUAGCGAAACUGAAUCCCUUCUCGAGGCUGCCACGCUUCAUGGUCUGCCUUCUGUAAGUGGUGUUGACGUUUGGGUCCUGCGCAAUGGGAAUUCAUGAACCAUGUCAGGUCCGGAAGGAAGCAGCAUUAAGUGGAACCUCUCAUGUGCCGCGGGGCUGCCUGAACCGAGCUAACUGCAGGAGUAACGCAUGGGGCUGUCAGUCGACAGAAGGUGCACGG